GCCCGAUUAGCUCAGCUGGUUAGAGCGUCGUACUAAUAUCUGGUUUCUACCUGAUAUCAAGUCCAUGCGAAGGUCAACAGUUCAAUCCUGUUAUUGGGCA
This 100-nucleotide transfer RNA is filed under the name Neurospora crassa. Its description in RNAcentral is "tRNA-Ile". The record is from RNAcentral. RNAcentral also lists the same sequence under 1 other name. Lineage: Eukaryota; Fungi; Ascomycota; Sordariomycetes; Sordariales; Sordariaceae.